This 316-nucleotide long non-coding RNA is filed under the name Homo sapiens (human). Its description in RNAcentral is "non-protein coding lnc-TSPAN3-2:1". Lineage: Eukaryota; Metazoa; Chordata; Mammalia; Primates; Hominidae. The record is from RNAcentral.
GAUUUUUUUAAAGAGAUAUGGUAGUUUAAAUAGGUUUGUUUAAAGAACUCUUGGGAAAUUUCUUAACAAAUUGUAAUUGUUUUUAUAAACCUUCCUACAGAGUUGUGUACCAUUCAUCAUCACCAUCAUUUAAUAUCUGUAAGUGCCCAGAAGGUACAAGGUGCUAUACAGCCGUUAAACACCCCCUCCCUGCAACUGUUUAAAAUUAGAAUAGAUUUUUGCAUCAACCACUGCUAGAAGCUUUCCCCACCUAGGUGGGCUGCAAGGGCCUGCAUUCCCAACAUCCCAUUACAUGUUUCCCACUCCAGAAAGUCUC